GGCAAGGUGGUCGAGUGGUUAAGACGUAAGACUGUAUGUUGACAUGUUUCCGCUACAUAACCUAUCCAAAUACUAAUUCCUCUUCUAGUGAAUCCAAUCAUUGGAUGUUAUCUUAUCCCUUCGGGGUCGCGCGUUCAAAUCGCGUCCUUGUCG
This is a non-coding RNA of Aspergillus oryzae, 153 nucleotides long. Lineage: Eukaryota; Fungi; Ascomycota; Eurotiomycetes; Eurotiales; Aspergillaceae. The record is from Rfam.